UCCUAGCCCAGACAGCAGUGGAAAGCCCAGACUGAAAAAAACUAUUUUUUCUAGGAAUAAAAGAGCGACCGGCAGGAAGCUCCUUUUAUUACUUUGGAAAAAAAGUUUUUUGAAGGAGGACUUGUAACGAAUGGCUGGAAUCAGC
RNAcentral lists this small RNA (145 nucleotides) under Flavobacterium aquicola. RNAcentral's name for it is "Flavo-1 RNA". Lineage: Bacteria; Pseudomonadati; Bacteroidota; Flavobacteriia; Flavobacteriales; Flavobacteriaceae. The record is from RNAcentral.